This 906-nucleotide ribosomal RNA is filed under the name uncultured archaeon. Its description in RNAcentral is "bacterial SSU rRNA". It matches the Rfam family "Archaeal small subunit ribosomal RNA", at positions 21 to 903 of the family's 1478-position model. The record is from RNAcentral.
CCCCACUGCUAUCGGGGUGGGACUAAAACAUGCAAGUCGAGCGCCUCCAAGCUAUGGUGAAGGCGCGGCAAACGGCUCAGUAACACGUGGCCAACCUACCCUUGGGACGGAGACAACCCCGGGAAACUGGGGCUAAUCCCCGAUAGGUAAGGAAUCCUGGAAUGGAUCUUUGCUGAAAGGGCGUCUAGACCAUGCUUCUUGACGUCGCCCAAGGAUGGAGCCGCGGCCGAUCAGGUAGUUGGCGAGGCAACGGCUCACCAAGCCUAUAACCGGUACGGGCCGUGAGAGCGGGAGCCCGGAGAUGGGCACUGAGACAAGGGCCCAGGCCCUACGGGGCGCAGCAGUUGCGAAAACUCCGCAAUGCGCGAAAGCGUGACGGGGCUACCCCGAGUGCCGCCCGUUGAGGGCGGCUUUUCCACGGUGUAAGGAGCCGUGGGAAUAAGGAGAGGGCAAGACUGGUGUCAGCCGCCGCGGUAAUACCAGCUCUCCGAGUGGUGGGGACGAUUAUUGGGCUUAAAGCGUUCGUAGCCGGCUUAACAAGUCUUCCGUUAAAUCCAACGAUCUAAUCGUUGGGCUGCGGGAGAUACUGUUGGGCUAGGAGGCGGGAGAAGCCGACGGUAUUCUCGGGGUAGGGGUGAAAUCCUGUAAUCCCGGGAGGACCACCAGUGGCGAAGGCGGUCGGCUAGAACGCGCUCGACGGUGAGGGACGAAAGCUGGGGGAGCGAACCGGAUUAGAAACCCGGGUAGUCCCAGCUGUAAACGAUGCGGGCUAGGUGUUGGGGUGGCCACGAGCCACUUCAGUGCCGCAUGGAAGCAAUUAAGCCCGCCGCCUGGGGAGUACGGCCGCAAGGCUGAAACUUAAAGGAAUUGGCGGGGGAGCACCACAAGGCGUGAAGCUUGCGGUUU